AUCUUCGCAAACAAUAUAAUACAAAAACACCAUUCGGUUUCUAUGUGUAAUUUAGUUUUUUAAUUGAUACUUUUAAGAGGCCAAUGUGGGCAAAUUGGUCAUGCACAUCUGCAACAUGCCAAUGCAUCAUAGUUUAGAAACCGUCCACGAAAUCAUACAGAUAUAUCACGCACUACAGUGCUCAUUCAUAACGACAAAGUCAGCAUACACAGUCUUACACACCUAAUAGUGGUAUAUAUGUAAGUGAACAAGAUAUUGAUAUGGCUACGAAAACAACGGCAACAACUGAAAAUGCAUUGAAACACCCACAGCAACUGCAAUUAGCGGAGGUCGGUGGGGAUAGGCAGCAGCAGCCACAUACAAGCCAUAUUGUUAAUACUAUAGCGGAGGAGUCAUCGACUGUAAAUGGGUGCGUUACACAGAGAGCGGUAAAGGAGGAAAUUGACGAAGUGGAGCAACACACCCAAAAAGCAAAAAACAACAACGCAACCUACAGUUCUGAAAACGAAGCUGCAGAAGGAACACCGGCUACACCUGCUGUAACAGAGUUGUCUGUAAUGACCAUGAAUGCCGCACCAGAAUCUCGUUUGUGUGGAAAAAAAUUGUUAUUGUGCCGACGCUUUAAGGAUUGUGGUGGUAUUUUGCGUAACUUUAAUUCUUUGCCAUUAUUCGUUUACGCGACAUCACCAUCCACGCAUGCCAUUUCGGCCGAUGGCGUGGGCGUGGCCAAGGAGGCAGUAGCAGCGGCAGACGCUAUAGGUCAAAAGAAUAACGACUCCUAUGACCUUGCGCUUUGCCCCACGAACAAUAGCGGCUUUCCAACAACAACCGCAAUUAUUAGCGCCAUGGACUGUCUGCCCAUUAUGAAUGGCGGCAGUAGCAGUAAUAGCAGUGGCAUCGGCACACUCGGCCUUGGCGUGGCACAUCAUCACAUCUUGUCUAACGGCAAUAACAGCACAGCGGCCGCUAUCAUGAGCGGCAGCACACCAACAGUCACCGCCGUUGUCGGUUCAUAUCAACAGCAACUCGCUAACUUGCAUGCGCAUCACCCACAUCUGAAUUUGGUUGGCCAUCAUGCCGUAACACCGUACAGCAAUAAUUAUCCGCUGCAUCAUAGCAGCAGCCAUCAUCACAUACAGAGCGAGCAGACCAAGUCGCUGCAGGAGCUGCAGCAUGAAGUUGGCGCGCUGUUGGAAUUUCGCGAUCUGGUCAUCGAAACCUUUCCGGAUCUCAAGCAUAAAAUGGCAUCUAUGUCAUCGGCGACGGGUUCGUCCACAACGAACACAAGCGGUGGCGCUGCGUUGAGUAGCGCUUCGGCGACUGGCGCACACACACUCGCCGGUGGUAGUGGCGGCGGCAGUGGCGGCAUGUCGAAUGCGUCGUUAGUAUCAAGACGCGAGUGGGAACCUGGCAUACGCCUGAAGCGCAAAGUUUCGCAUAAAGAACCGUCCAUACCGGCAGCCAGCGGCGCCACAGCUGCGGGCGUUGCAGCCGGUGAACUAUCCUCAUCGUCGCUGACGCGAAGCCGCAGUAAUUCGCAUAGCGGUAAAAAAGAGCCAAAGAGCGGAGAGAAUAACAACGGCAGUGUUGUGCAGGAUUCCGGUUUCUCCACGGAGACAAGUUCAUCGAAGGAGGGACAUAGUGCUUCGUCUACAAAUGGUGCUAUGACGGGCCCCACUGCACUGAACCGUCUCUCCUGCCACGAAUCUGACGACGAGCUGCUCAAUUUGCUCGAUGUCAUACAUCGCAAAUCGAAUCGUUUACGCGAAGAAAUGGAUCAGNUGCAGCAGUAUGAGCGCCAGAAUUUGCGCGGCGCCAGCAGCAAUAUUAGCANCAACAACAAUAUGAAUCCGGCGGAUGAGUCGACAACAACAGUUGUUGCUGCAAGUGAAUUGNCUGCAGGUGCGACACGCAGUUCUUCGGUGUUGGCUAAGUCCAGCAGUAGCGGCAGCAGUAACAUUACUGUAAAUGGUGCCGGUCUCACACCGAAAACCUUCCGCGAACAUGUGGAACGCCUCAAUAAGGAGGAUAUCAAGCAGUUGCGUAAGGAACGCGAUCGUCUGCUCGAUAAGCUGGCCGAAAUGGAAGCGGAAACUUUAACCGGACGCAUUAAGGCGGCCAAAAUGAAUGAUCAAGUAGAGGAGCUGAUCAGCGUGAAAAAGGAUCUCGAGGAGCAGUUAAAGUUGGCGAUGGCGCAAAAACUUGAUUUAAGUGCGCGCGUGCAGCAGUUACAGCUGCAGCAACAGCAACCCUCACAACAGUUCCAGAGUAAGAGUUCUUCAAGUCAAUCCGAUUAUUCGAGUCAACGCAACUUCCUAUCCUCCGCCACCACGGUGCUCUCCACUGGCAGCGCUGCUUCGGCACAGUUUCCAGAAGCUGGUACUGCUGCUGCCGCCACCAACACUAGCACACUAACGAGCGCACAAUGUCGGCGUCAACAUACAUUCCAGCCAGUGGUGGUAAUCGAGCAGCAGCAGCACAAUCAGCGUCCGCUACACGCAGCGCCGCCCGAGGACAUACACAUUGCAUUCCAUCAAAGCGCAAGCAGUGAUAGUAAAAAGCAGCAAACCGAACAGAGCGAGCAACAGCAAUUGGGCCGUCUGGAUGGCGUUGUGAGCACACCGGGCGGACGCUACAGCAAGAUUCGCUUGAUCGAUUCGAAGCGCUUUGCCGCUAUACUAUUGGAAACGAGCGUAGUCGAGCUGCAGCGGCAUCUGCUGACGCUNACCGUGCAAAAUCAGGUAUUGAUGCAGAAGCUCGACUCGGCUACCAAGUCAAAAACACAUUUAGCCAAAAGACUGGACAAAUCAAAGGAUGAUGUAGAGGAUCUGCGUUUUCAGUUAGAGGAGAAGAAUAUCGAGUUGGAGGGCACUAAGGCGCAAUUGCGCGUGCUUGAGUCGCGCAUACACUCUGUCACGCCCAACAGUGGUGCGCCAACUAAUUCCUACUUACACUCUCAAAAUGAUUAUGAAACCAAUCGUUCAUCAGCUUCCACCACGCUGAUGUUGAGUCGGCGUGGCAUCGGCAGCGGCGCUAGUGAUACAUUACAUUAUAGCGACUUGCGUUCGGCAACACCAAUUUCAAACACCACCACUACAAUGCCAAUGACGACAACAACCGUCGGUCAAAUGCCCGCACCACAGGUUACGCAAAUAUCCACGCCCAGCAUGAAGGCCAUGAUUCACCUGCCGAUGGAUGAGCUGCAACAACAUAGUAGUAGCACCGAAUCGGCACAUGAUCAUGAGUUGCAAGAGAGUGGCGAUGCACAGGCGACGGCAAGCNGACUGAUGAGCGCCAGUGUCGGUGGCAUAAGUCCGUUUGACAGUGUGACGCGUGGUAAAAAAGUUNGUAUGGGCAGCAAGCCAAGCAAGAUACCUUUGCCGGGCAGCAAAGCAGCAGCCUAUUUUGCUGGCAAACCACCCACCGGACGUCCGUCUACGGCAGGUCGCUCACCACCUUCCACCCACACAUACGGCACCUCGAACUCGUCGAGCAAAUCGUCACUGUGUCGCAGUACCGGCAAUCUGUUAUACAGCAAAUCACCGAACAGUCUGAAACGUGCCGACUCCGCACAAAGUAUACGCAAAGACAACUCAUCGUUGAGCACCAAUACGAGUCGCAGCUCUACAUCUUCUUCCAUACCGUUGGCGACGCAUCACUUGUCAAAUGCUACCUCGAAGUCACCGAUUGGUGCAGUCGCCAACGCGACACCAACUCCGUCCCCGAGAGUGCUACAAAACUCUCCAUUACCGAAGCUAAAGCGUGAAUCGCUCACCUCACGUGUACGCCAUUUGGAUUCAUUGUCGCGUGUACAUCAGCAUAAUCAUAAUUCGAACGUCAGCAGUAACGGUGCGGGUGUUGGUGGUGGCAGUGAUAUCUCCUGCACAUCACCCACCAUGUCAGCCUAUACCACGGCGCACAACCACAACCACCAUAAUCACAACNAUUCGACGCUGCUAACGUCCACUUCGCCCACUGCGCUAUCCACCAGCUCGGCGAGUAGCUACAUUGUUAGCAGCACGCCAAAGCCCAGCGCCAUAGCAGCGCAUAUAAAUGCAACGCUNCGCAAGGACACACAAUUGAAUACAAGCAAUUAUGGUGCGCAACAAUUUCUGCGUCGCGCCACCGGNGGCAAUGCCGCUACCGCCGCCGCCACUAAUACAGCUGGCUCUGGUCAAAGUGUGGUGAAUAGCAGUGCGACUGCGCGCCGCUUUAGCAGCGCCUCGGUGGUGGGUGCACGCAUAGCGAGCCGCAGUCAAGCGCAAGAUGUUGGCAGUGGGGAGCACCAGCCGCAACAACAACAGCAGCCGCAACAACAACAGCAGCCGCAACAUCAGCAGAGCGAUAGCGAUAGUGGCAAGCUGAUGAUUGCAUGCAAACGACACGUUAUAAAACGGCCGAAUCGAAACAAACGAAUGCCACCCAAACAUAUGUAAAAUGCGAUGUAUGAGUAAAUAACGGAUUGUGGGUGGUCAUAUUGUACUAAAAAUAAAAAAAUNAAAACAAAAAACGCACACGUAAAUAAUAUAAAUGAAAAGUGUUAACAACAACAACACUGACUGAAAUUGGUGGUAACAGUAAGGCCACAUUGCAAGCUUGCCAGCCCGAAAGCGGCCAGAAAUUCAAAAUUGAGUACAUAAAACAGUUAAUUAUCAUUUAACCGAUUGCAUGCACCACAAAAACCUAACCAACUAGAAAUUGUAGUGAAAAUAAGAACAUACGAACAAACACACACGCUCAAGCAACUACGAAGCAGCGUGCGGAAAGCACAGCAGCAGGCUUGGAACUUGGAAUUGUGCCAAGCGGAAAUACGACGUGAGGGAUGUGUCAGCNACAGCAACAAUCAUAUUCGGCAAAAACACUGGAAGCUGAGCGCGUCACCACAAGCGUCUUAGGUGGCAGCAAACAGCAUGCUACGCGCAUUUGUUGUUGUUUUUUGUCCAUUUUGUUACGCACAAAAUGCAACUAAAACGCACAACAACAAAAUGCCAGUGCUGCCAGUCUUAAUCCUUCAUUGUGCCUCCUGUCUUCCUGUCAACUCUUAUACAACUCCUACAAAUACGUACUUGUACAACAACAAUAGCAACUACUCCAACGUUUUUGCUGCGUUUCAGCGAAAAUGUCUGUCGCCAUUCACUGUUCUACGAGCUGCUGCCAGCAUACAAACCGAAAGAGAGCACUGCCAGCGCCGCAACUGCCCAAAAUUGGCGACAAAAAC
This 5218-nucleotide unclassified non-coding RNA is filed under the name Bactrocera latifrons. Its description in RNAcentral is "uncharacterized LOC108975580, transcript variant X3". Lineage: Eukaryota; Metazoa; Arthropoda; Insecta; Diptera; Tephritidae. The record is from RNAcentral.